This 629-nucleotide small RNA is filed under the name Pan troglodytes (chimpanzee). Its description in RNAcentral is "processed transcript". The record is from RNAcentral. Lineage: Eukaryota; Metazoa; Chordata; Mammalia; Primates; Hominidae.
CUCAUUCUGUGAAGUGGCUUUUCUUUCCAGACUGGGAGAGGCAGCCUUGAAAUCCCUCCAUUCCUAGAGAAAACAGGUCGACAGACUGCGGCUUGCUGUUUCUUCUUACCAUUUCCAUCUUCCUGGGGCUGGGCCAGCCCAGGAGCCCCAAAAGCAAGAGGAAGGGGCAAGGGCGGCCUGGGCCCCUGGCCCCUGGCCCUCACCAGGUGCCACUGGACCUGGUGUCACGGAUGAAACCGUAUGCCCGCAUGGAGGAGUAUGAGAGGAACAUCGAGGAGAUGGUGGCCCAGCUGAGGAACAGCUCAGAGCUGGCCCAGAGAAAGUGUGAGGUCAACUUGCAGCUGUGGAUGUCCAACAAGAGAAGCCUGUCUCCCUGGGGCUACAGCAUCAACCACGACCCCAGCCGUAUCCCUGUGGACCUGCCGGAGGCACGGUGCCUGUGUCUGGGCUGUGUGAACCCCUUCACCAUGCAGGAGGACCGCAGCAUGGUGAGCGUGCCGGUGUUCAGCCAGGUUCCUGUGCGCCGCCGCCUCUGCCCGCCACUGCCCCGCACAGGGCCUUGCCGCCAGCGCGCAGUCAUGGAGACCAUCGCUGUGGGCUGCACCUGCAUCUUCUGAAUCACCUGGCCC